ACUCAUUUCAUUUCAUUUCUACUUAAUUCAAAAUUCUGGCAAGCGGGCAGCGAGCUAUGGUUUAAUAUAUCGAAGGACAAUCGUCGUAGUCGACUUCAGGUCUCCUCAACCGGGAGAGCUCUCCUAGGCACCUUUCAGCCAGUUUUUCAAUUCAAUUUUGGGCCAUCUCGAAAAUAGAAAACAAAUACACAGAUACAGACACAAUAAAUGCUAAAUGCUGAACGUGACACACACAUGUCUUAAAAGUGCUGUCAUGUGCUCGUUGGUGAGUUGGGAAAAACGGAAAAGCGGAAUGGAAGAGCGACUUUGUUGACGCCGUUGACUUUAUACGUCAAUUUCAUCGCCGUCGUGAGGAGUUUUCGUUUCGUUUAUGGCAGCCAAGGGAAAAUGAGAGGAGGCACUGUAGCAGGCACCCGGGGUUUGGGCUGCAAGCAAACAUCAACAGCAGGCGGAGGAGGCUGUUACUGGGAGCGGAGGCUUUCACCCCAACUGUCUCUCCUAGUCACCAGGCCUGGGUCCCAUGUCAAGUUGUCGUUGCCGCCGACGUCGUUGUUGUGGCCAAGUCAACCGCAUCAUCAUCGUCAUCGCCGCCGUCAUCUGCCUUUAACAACAUUUUCCUUACACUGCUCACCUUGACUGACUGUAUGUUUUCGCUAUUAUGCAAAAAAGUUGCCAUUUAAAAACUCCUGG
This is a non-coding RNA of Drosophila melanogaster (fruit fly), 690 nucleotides long. NCBI's taxonomy places the organism in Eukaryota, Metazoa, Arthropoda, Insecta, Diptera, Drosophilidae. The record is from Ensembl.